GAAGGGUCUUCCAGCCCGGGACACAGGAGGUCAGGCCUGGCCAGGAGUGGGCAGCAAUGGGGCGCGAGGCCUGGGCUAGGGGCUGGGGGGAGCCAGACAAGGUGCUGGGAGGGUUUUCACAGGGGAGGGCAAAGACCCAUUUGUUGUUUUUCAUUUUACUUUAAUCAGUUCCCCACUCCCUGUUCUUCCUCGGGAAUCUCAAAGGCCUCAGCCCCUCAGCAGCUGUGAUGUGCUGUGUGUCCCCGUGUGCCUCCCGCUGUCAUGUCAGAGCUGGCCUUGGGCAGGCUGAUGCCAUCGGACUUCCCAGCACGUCCUUGGAGUGGUGGUGCAAUCUGCCCGGGCACGCUGGACAGUCCUCCUGCCCGUCCCUGCCUGUGGGCACCCUCCCCUCUCCCAUCAGCUGGGUCUGUUCUCAUCUGUUCUAGGGGUUUCUGAACCUGUGGCCAUGAGCCAGCAUUUCCCAUCCCUCCUCAGCCCACCCACAAGGAGGCUGGGGCCCCAGAGGACCCCAGAAGGCCCCUCCCAUCCAGAGGACACUGUGGGUGCAGCUGAGGUGUGGAGGUGCCAGGACCAGCACCCUGGACUUGCUCUAGACUCUGCGGCUUCCCAGAUGCCCUGACCUUGAAACCUGGAAGCAAAUCCCGGAACUCACUUCCUGCAGGGCCUCAGUCAUGUCUCCGUGCUGACGCAGUGAAGAGGUGCAGGUCCCAAAGGCCCUCCCCACCUCACCUCCCGGCCCCUCUCCCUGCCCAUAGGUCUGGCCGCACCCCCCUGUAGUCUGCCUCCUGGGGAGGAAAUGGUCUGACAAGGCUGACCCGGAACAUUUUCCUUUAACUCAGCUGUAGAGUGAGGGCCCAGCCAAGCCCCAGAGGCAGCUGAGAGGGGCAGGCAGAGGGCACCCUGGUGGUCCAGGAGCCCCCACCUUGAUGUUCUUCCCUGGUGGGGUGUGCCAGAGCCGCCUGGAGAAGAUCCUGGGGCUGCGGUCACGGGCCAAGGCCAGAGCAACUGUCUUCGAAUAGGCUGGACACCCCCAAGGUGCACUGUGGAGGAAGAGGGGCUCCCUCUCCGGGGACAGACCAGGCCCCCACUUUCAGGGACUCCUGUGAACCAGGCUGGGCCAGCCCUCAGGCCUGCAGGAGAACUUUCCACCUCCCCUGGGUCUGUGGGUCCUACUCAUUCCAAUCCUUUCUGGCCCCACACCCAGUGUCCAAAUCUGCACCCCAUGAUAUUUUGAAAAGUUCUCAGGUUCCUCUCCCAGUUCUGAGAAGCAACUCAAACCUCAGCCCUGACCCAGCACCCUCCAUCCGCCUGCCCCGGGCUGAGUUCCAGUGGCCCUGGGCCAGAAGCCUGUGUGCCCAGCGGUCUCUGGAGCAGCGGGGCUGUCCACCCGCAGCUGUGUCUCCUGAUCCCAGCCAAGAGGACCGUGAGUGUUAGGGCUGGUGCAGAAAGCAGCAGCCCCUCGUCUGUAGCCUUGGACAUAACAUCUCCUUUCCUGCAGUGGUUUUACUCUUGGGCCAUGGCAUUAGUGACAGCGGUGUCACAAACGCAAACACAAAAAUGCAACACAAACAGAACAAUGGGUGGGCGCGGUGGCUCACACCUGUAAUCCCAGCAAUUUGGGAGGCUGAGGCAGAAGAUCACUUGAAGCAGAGAGUUCCAGACCAGUCUGGGCAACACAACAAGGCCCCAUCGCUACCAAAAAUUAAAAAUUAGCCUGGCGCGGUGGUGGCACCUAUAGUCCCAGCUACUCGGGUGGCUGAGGUGAGAGGAACGCUUGAGCCCAGGAGUUCGAGGCUGCAGUGAGCUGUGAUCACCACUGCACUCCAGCCUGGGUGACAGAGUGAGACCCUGUCUCAAAUCAAAAACCAAUACAAAGAAGAAAAAUGAAAGAAACCGAAAAUGGAGGAAACAGCAACCAAAAUGCCUGUUGACUGGAGAAUGUUUGUGCCCAUGUGGUCCAGGCACAUGCGAGCUUGCCAAUCACUUUGAGAGGGGUCAGCAUGUGAAGAGAUAUCAAAGAUUUCACUACUCGAACCCGUGUCAGAAGCUGACCACACCCCAAGCUAGUCAAGUGUUUAGAACGGAGCCAUAGUCUGAUGGGUGUUUCUGUGGAGGCCUCUCCUGCAGUUCUCUUGAACCUGGCCUGCUGUGUCUCUAUUCCACCUGGUCCCUUGAGAAUCCUCCAGAAGCCAGAUGACUCCUGCAUCCGUCUCCUCCUUCUGUGCUCCAGUCCCUCUCCCUGAGGGCAGCCUAUUGACCAGGUUGCAAGAAGAACCCAGGCUGACUUUCUCUCCAUGGGGCCCUCAUCUGAUCCACUGAAAAUACUCACAUAUCUCCAGUGCCAGCCUCAGAGGCACAGUUGUUUCCUUUCGGUCAAUAUUUGCCUGGAGGUUUUUUUUU
Molecule: long non-coding RNA, 2400 nt
Filed under: Homo sapiens (human)
Lineage: Eukaryota; Metazoa; Chordata; Mammalia; Primates; Hominidae
Description: HSALNT0145223
Source: RNAcentral